Molecule: ribosomal RNA, 116 nt
Filed under: Bacillus subtilis
Lineage: Bacteria; Bacillati; Bacillota; Bacilli; Caryophanales; Bacillaceae
Source: RNAcentral
CCUGUUAUCUAGUUUUGAGAGAACACACCCGUUCCCAUACCGAACACGGAAGUUAAGCUCUUCAGCGCCGAUGGUAGUCGGGGGUUUCCCCCUGUGAGAGUAGGACGCCGCCAAGC